RNAcentral lists this ribosomal RNA (434 nucleotides) under uncultured bacterium. Its description in RNAcentral is "partial 16S ribosomal RNA". It matches the Rfam family "Bacterial small subunit ribosomal RNA", at positions 341 to 792 of the family's 1533-position model. The record is from RNAcentral.
ACGGGAGGCAGCAGUGGGGGAUAUUGCACAAUGGGGGAAACCCUGAUGCAGCGACGCCGCGUGAGUGAAGAAGUAUUUCGGUAUGUAAAGCUCUAUCAGCAGGAAAGAUAAUGACGGUACCUGACUAAGAAGCACCGGCUAAAUACGUGCCAGCAGCCGCGGUAGUACGUAUGGUGCAAGCGUUAUCCGGAUUUACUGGGUGUAAAGGGAGCGCAGACGGCAUGGCAAGCCAGAUGUGAAAUGCGGGGGCUCAACUCCUGAACUGCAUUUGGAACUGUCAAGCUAGAGUAUCGGAGAGGUAAGUGGAAUUCCUAGUGUAGCGGUGAAAUGCGUAGAUAUUAGGAGGAACACCAGUGGCGAAGGCGGCUUACUGGACGAUAACUGACGUUGAGGCUCGAAAGCGUGGGGAGCAAACAGGAUUAGAUACCCUGGUA